RNAcentral lists this ribosomal RNA (495 nucleotides) under uncultured bacterium. RNAcentral's name for it is "partial 16S ribosomal RNA". It matches the Rfam family "Bacterial small subunit ribosomal RNA", at positions 28 to 507 of the family's 1533-position model. The record is from RNAcentral.
GACGAACGCUGGCGGCGUGCCUAAUACAUGCAAGUAGAACGCUGAAGGAGGAGCUUGCUUCUCUGGAUGAGUUGCGAACGGGUGAGUAACGCGUAGGUAACCUGCCUGGUAGCGGGGGAUAACUAUUGGAAACGAUAGCUAAUACCGCAUAAGAGUAGAUGUUGCAUGACAUUUGCUUAAAAGGUGCAAUUGCAUCACUACCAGAUGGACUUGCGUUGUAUUAGCUAGUUGAUGGGGUAACGGCUCACCAAGGCGACGAUACAUAGCCGACCUGAGAGGGUGAUCGGCCACACUGGGACUGAGACACGGCCCAGACUCCUACGGGAGGCAGCAGUAGGGAAUCUUCGGCAAUGGACGGAAGUCUGACCGAGCAACGCCGCGUGAGUGAAGAAGGUUUUCGGAUCGUAAAGCUCUGUUGUAAGAGAAGAACGAGUGUGAGAGUGGAAAGUUCACACUGUGACGGUAUCUUACCAGAAAGGGACGGCUAACUACGUG